CUGCAGGAUGGGUUCCCUGUGACGCCCGCGCGCUCCGUCCCUUGCAGGAGGGGGACAGCGCGCUGCAUGACGCCGUGCGGCUCAACCGCUACAAGAUCAUUAAGAUGCUGAUCCUGUACGGGGCGGACAUGAUGGCUCAGAACCUGGCAGGAAAGACCCCCACGGAUCUGGUGCAGCUCUGGCAGGCAGACACCCGGCAGGCGCUGGAGAUGCAGGAGCCUGGCGAGACGGAGGCCCCGGCAUGAGGGCUGGGGAACGGGACCCAGCGGUGGGAAUCUUGGAAUAAAACCCAGUGAACGAGA
Trachemys scripta elegans is the source of this 302-nucleotide long non-coding RNA. RefSeq lists it as uncharacterized. The transcript has 2 exons. Lineage: Eukaryota; Metazoa; Chordata; Testudines; Emydidae. The record is from RefSeq and is a predicted model, not a curated record.